AAAAUAAUAAAAUAAAUCAUUCAUAAAAUUAAAAAAUAACUCUUAAUUAAAAAAAUAAACCUAACUAUCGAAAAAAAAACUUAAUUCAAUAAAAAAAAACCUCUCCAUAAACAAAUCUAUGAAACAUUGAAACCUUGAACCAUUUUGAAGAGGCAAGAGAAACCCAAAACCUUUCUCUAUUACUGAGCUUUGAAGAGGCACAGACUGUAUUUGGAAUCGAGAGAUUGAGGCGAAGCAAAGGUUAGUGUUUCGUUACAAAUCGACUGGAUAUUCUAAUAUUUUAGGUUUAAGUUUAUGAAAUUUGGUGUUUAACUUGAUUUUCAUAGCAAUAUUUAGGGUUUUGAAAUCCUAAAUUUUGAAAUUCAAAAUUGAAUCUAGUAUUUGGGUUAUUUGAGUUCAAAAGAGAGAAAAACUUAUAAUGGAGUGAAAUAAGGUUAGUCAAAUGUAUCAAAAAUGGAUUUCUUGAUCUUAAGAUAGGUUAUUUGUCUGCUCGUAAAAAAAUAAUGAAAAAAAUAAAGACGAUAAUCAAAUUCAAAUAUCUUUAUAAAACAUAUUACUUUAUGGGUUAGGUUGAAAAUUCAAAGACACCGUUUUUAGUUCUUAAAAGCCAAAGACGCUAUCUCCAUCUUCAAGUAAACUGAUUUAACAUCUUUUCAUUAUUGGUAUGUUUUCAUAAAAACUUUUUGUUAUGAGCAUAACAUGAAGUCACAUGAAUGUAUAUUAAGUCAUUACUCUUGGUCUAAUCCAGUCAAAUAAAUAUUUAUGAUACUCAAAGUUUAACAAAUACAAGUACAGAAAUCUAUGAAUAUGUGUUAUAGAGUCAUGAAAUGAACACCAUAUUCACAUACAUGUUUGGAUAAGUUGGAGUUGAGAGUGAUUGAUGUUUUGCUUAGUGGGCUUCUCAUAAAUGAGGAUUUAAUUUUUAUGUUUCUAUGAUGUGUUAACUGUUCUUAUCAUGAGUUGCUAAGAUGAUGUCUCUAUAUUUGACAUCUCUAGUAAUUGUUGAUUAUUUCUAACUUGCUUGAUUUUACUAAUAAAACCAUCUUUUGCUAAAAAAAUAUACAAAAUAGCUAAUACUAUGCUUUCUAACCUUUUUUUUUCUUUCUUGUAAAAUGUUAAGAGCAUAUAAAAAAAAUUAAAAGAAAAAGAGUUGCAUUAAGAGAACUUUGUAUUUUAUUUUCUGAUUUGAUCAUGUCAUUACCAUGCCUUAUACUUCACAUUAUCACAAAUAUGUUUACUCAUCUAUUUAACAAAGCAGAUUGACAUGUGUAAUGGCAACAACAAUUACAAGAUGUAAAGUUCCGUAUUGAUUAUUAUUGAUAUAAUCAUUUUGAUAUUUAUCUUUUUGUGACAAAUUUAAUAUAAAUAUAUUAGAUUCUAUAUAUUUUUAAUACAUUUGUAAUAUUUUAAAUUGCAUUGCCAAAAAUUAUACCAAAGUGAUAGUUAACCAAUAUGCUUGUAUCUUAUUGUCAACCGUUGUCACAAUAGCAAGAAGUUCCUAUACCAUAAACCAUAUUGUCAACCAAUGUGGUGCACACAAAAAAAAAGCAUAAUGUCAAUCAUAGUCAUUAUAGCAAAAGGUUUCCAUGAAAAAAAAUGAAAUAUGACAUGUCAUUUAGCAAAAGUGUCACUUCUUUAGUUGUUUCUGUGUAAUUGAUUCUUGAGUGCUAAAAUGGUCUUUAAUUUGUUUGCGUUUUUUGUUCAGGGAGUUAAUUUUCACCAGAGAGCCCAUAGUAGAUGUCCUACUGGAUUCAAGUGCCCUAAUAAUUUGUGAGUUGUUAUUCCUCUGUAGCAAGCAAAUGAAACAACUUAAUAUCCAAAUUGACGCAAUAAUUAUAUAAUAUCACAACAAAUAACAAUUACAACAACCUACAAAUAAUACAAAAAAUAAUAGUUUAAGCAACCAAUUUCAUAUUUAUUUAAUGACACAUAAAAUUAGAUUUACAAAAUUAUCAUUACUGAAUGUGUUACACCUUCAGCAUCAGCAGUUUCUAGUUGAUUGAUACUCUGUAGCAAACAAAAGAAAAAUUAAUUUAAUCAUCCAAAUAUCAAAUAAAAUCCUAAUUAUAAGUUUAAUAUUUACUAAAUUAUUUACGACUUCAGGCUCUGCAUUUUGCAAUUGAUGAGUCUGCAACAAAUAAAAAAUUUUAAUAUUUACUGAAAAAUUUGCUUCUUGAGGCUUUACAUUUAGUGGUUGAUGGGUCUGCAAGAAACAAAAGAAUAGCCUAUUUAAUCAACCAAUUUCUAUGUUUAUUAAAUAACACAUAAAAUAAAUAUUAUGAACCUUAAAUGACAGUUACCUCCUACGGACAUCUUUGUUUGUUAUGAGCCUCAAUUCCACAAACACUGCAUGUCAUUAUCAACCCAACCCUACUAAGUUGUCUUGGUCUUUUUUUCUUUGGUUCAUCUUUUGGGUUCCUCCUAUUUUUCUUUGGCCUUCCGGGCAUCUUUUUGUCAAUAGGUGGGAGAACAGGCUCAAUCCCAAACUUGACCCAUUCAUGUGCUCCAUUGAUAGGCUGCAGCGUAUAUACGUAUGCUUUCUCAUAGGUUUCUUUAUGGUAGAAUUGAUCCAAGUAGUCAUCUGGUUCACCACCCAUAUGCCAUAUGGCAGCGCAACCAUGUGGACAAGGCAAGCCAAUUAAUUCCCAACUCCUACAACUACAGGUUCUUUCUUCAAUGUUCACUGUGUAUUACUUUCUUCCCUUUUUCACCUCACAACCAUCAUCACCAUUCCAUACCAUCUACCAAUCAACACCAUCUCUUUUAUUUUGAUCAAAUUUCUUCUUCACUAAAGGACCAUAGUUUUGCUUCCAUUAUUUUGUAGAACUUUCGCAUCUCGACAAUUCUAGUUAUUAGCCUAACCCUGAUUUCUUCUAACAUUGUGAUUAUACUUUUGUACCUCACCUCUACAAUGCUAGAGUUGAAAGCUUCACAAAUAUUAUUGUCAACCAUGUCAAACUUACACUGGCAUCCAAAAACGGCCUUCGUCCAAUGUUUAGGAGACUUGGACAUCAACUCAUUCGCAACUUUUUCAUCUUUUUUCUUAAGAUUUUAAACUUCAUCUUCCCACUCCCUCUCUGUUGUGGCCUUCACAAUUUCCCAAAAAUCAAAUUCAUAAAACUUUGCUUUCUUCCUUCCAAACUAGUUGGCAAAAACAUGAUGUGCACAAUUUCUGUGCUCUAUUCUGGGCAAAACUUCAUCAAUUGCAAUCUUUAAACCCUACGCAAAUAAUUAAAAAAAUGUUAACAUAAUUGGAUAAAAAAUACAUAUAAAAGAAAAGCCUAUGAAAAUAUUGUCUUACCUUUUGUUUGUCACUAAUUAUUGUAUAUCCAAAGCCAUCUUCUAGGUCCAAAUCAAUAGCUAGUAGAUUUAAAAACCAUGCUCAUGAAUCUGUACAUUCACCCUCAACUAUAGCCCACGCAACUGGGUACAUCUGGUUUUUUACAUCUCUUCCAACUACUGUUAACAUUUCACUCUUGAAAUACCCUUUUAGAAAACAACCAUCUAAACCAAGGAUUGACCUACAUCCAACUUUCUAACCUUUCUUUAAAGAAUCAAAACAAGCAUAGAACCUUGUAAAAUAUGGGGAAGAAUCUAGAGUUACCCUAUGCAUUGCCAUUUUAAUUGUACUGUCUGGAUUCUUAACCCUCAACUCAUCUGCAUAAUCCCAUAACAUAGCAAAUUCUUCCUUGAAGCUCCCAGCCAACCUCUUGUUCACUCUUUUUUUGGCCCUUCUACACUUAGUAAGGUUCAUAUUCACAUGCAAAUCUGAAGCUACCCUUCAUUGAAUCUCCUUCAACUUCAUUUUUGGAUGGUCCCUUGUAGUUUCUUCAAAAUGGUUUGCAAUUAUAGCAACAUUAACCAUUUUGUUCUUGAAUCUCACACAACAAUUAUGCUCUUUGUGAAAGCUGCUCACCUGUAGACACUUUGAUCUCUUAUUGUAACUUGCAGAUAUUCUCCAAGGACAUUUCGCAAAGGUGAUGCACUUAACCCUGAUCCAUUUUGGUUCAUUUGUAACAAUUUUCAAUUCCCUUCUUGAAACCUUUGAAUAAUUUUGGAUGACAUCUUUGAAAGUUUCUCCAUCUCUAAAAAGCAUCCCUAAACAUAAUUUUGGAUUUUCAUAGUUUGGAUUGUACACCGAAAACUUCUUUCUUCUCCUUGCACCAUGCUCAUGUUUCUCCUCAGAACUAGACUCCACUAUACUACCAUGGUCAUUAGAUUCAAAGUAAUCUAUCUCAUAACCAUUUGCCUCUUGUGUACUUUUAUCAUGCCUUUCUUGGACUUCUACAUCCUCCCAAACAUCAUUUUCAAGUUCACAUGCCAUCCUCUCCCUAUUAGCAUCAAUGUUAUAAUUUUUUACAGAUUUUCCUCUAAAUCUUUUCAACUUAUCCCUAGCAGCUUGCAACAUCUCAUCCCCCUAACCAUUUGAAAGAUAUUUAACAUUAACCGUAUAAACUUCAUCAACAUAUUGCCAGUCAACAUCCUCCCUCUUACCAUCGGCCUCAAAAGCCCCUUGACCAACACCCUUACCAUCCUCCUCACAGUCCCCCUCAUUGGACCCUUCAAUAGCUCCCAAAACAACUCCCUCACCAGCUCCAAAAUCAUCAUUCUCAUAAACAUGUGAUGCAUUAUUGUCUUGUUCUACAAGUGGCUCAAUACCUAUAACACACAUCUGCAUGUAAAUUAAAUAACAAUUGAUGCUAUAUAAUGAAGCAACAAAUAAUAAUUAAAAAAACAACAACCAAUAAUAAUUAUUAAUUGAAGAACAAAUACAAGUAACCAAUAAUAAUUCCAAAAAUAUGUUGUUGUCCACAUUCGAAACAAAUUAACAACAAAUAAAUUCACAUGUUGUCACACUCUUUAACUAUAAUUAAAGAAAUACUCAUUAGUCACUGGAAUAUUAAGCUAUUGAAGAGUUUAAUUCAGCAUAUUCUAUUGAAGAGUUUAAUUUAGGUUAAUUCAUUUUACUUUGAAGAUAGAGAUGGUGUCUUUGGCUUUUAAGAACUAAAAACGGUGUCUUUAAAUUAUGUAUUGUAUUUGUUUAUGUUUAAAAUUACAAGAUUGAGCCUUUAGCUAAAAUGACAAGGUCAUUUUUUGAAUCUUAGAGUGUGUUUAGUUAGAUAGAAAAGUAGAGGGAUGGAAGGGAGUGGAAAAGUGGAAAGAAAACAAAUUUUGAGUAUACUUGGUAGAGAAAAGAGUGGGAGGAAAGAAAAUAAAAGAAAUGAUCAUUUUUCAUCCUAAUGAAAAAGUGAGAGGAGAGAAAAUAAGAGAGAUAGUAAUUUAGUUCAAAAUUAUACAUUUUUUCAAUGUUUUAUUUUAUUUUGUUUUGUUUUUCAACCUCGCAAACAGUGGAUGGAAAUAAAAUUAUUUUUUCUUUGAAUUCUUUCAUCUUUUCUACCAAGCACACUUGUAGGAUGAAAAAUUAUAUUUUCUAUCUUUCUAUUUUUCUACCUCUUCCAAUUUUCAUUUUUCUAUUUUCUUUCCACUUUACCAAGAAAAAUCUCAAUGUUUCAAGUUUGAGUCCUGUCAUGUGUAAAUUUUCUCUAAUGUUUAUGUUGAGUUUAAGUUCUAUGGAUAUAUUUUUAGUUUUUAGUAGGUUGUAAAACUUACGAGAUAGAAUUAAUGAGACAAAGGGUGUGUCUGUUUUACAAAAAAAUGACUUGUGGAAAAAUAUUUUAUGCAUUUUCCUAUGUUUGUUUCAUAGAAAACAAGUUGGCCAACAUAAAAUGACUACGUGUCAACUGAAAAUAAACUACUUUUCCUGUAAAUUGACUUACCCUUUUGAAAAAUGUAAGUCAUUUUCCGAAAAAGAGCUCAUCUAUUAAUAGUUUUAUUUUUAUAUAAAAAUUAACUUGAAUCAAGCUUAAUAUUAUUAUAUUAAUGAUAAAAAUUUUAAUUUUAAUUUUUUAAAAAUAUUUAAAAAAUUAUUAUUAUUAUUAUUAUAAUGUUCAAUAUUAUUAAAUUCAUUAUUAAAGUAUUUAUAUUUAAUAAAAUAAUAAGUUAUUAAUAUAAAUUAUUAUUUUAAUAAAUUAUGUAAUAUUACAAAUUUGUUUUAAUAAUAAGUUUUAACAAUAAUAAUUUCAAAUAAUUUUUUCCUAAUAUAUUAUUGAACAAUAUUUAUAUUAAUAUUUUAAUAAUAAAUAUAUAUUACAAUUUAUAAAUAUUUAAUAAUAAAUGUUUAUAGUAUAAAAUAUGAAUAUUUUAAUUAUAUAAAUAUGCGUAUUUGUUUAAAUUAUGCUUAGCUUCAUUUAUCUUUUUCAAUUCUGAUGUGUCAUUAUACACUCAUAUAUGUAAUACUAAUUUCCAAGGCCACGUGCGUUGCACCUGAAUAUAAGUGUUUAUACUUUUAUUAUUUAAUAAAAACAUUUAUUCCAUAAUCAUUAGAAAAAUAUAAAUUUAAAAACUAAAAUAUUGUUUUAAAUUUAAUAAUUUAAAUUAUAAUGAAAGUGCAAUGGGAUAUGAAUUACUUUAAUACUUAUUAUGAGUUUGAAUAAAGGUUAAAUAAUAAUUCUAUCUUAAAAAUUUAUAUAAAUAUCUUAAAGAUCAAUUUAAAAAAAAAAGUAUUCUAAAAUUGAGAUUAGAUUUUGACUUAAUUUACACGUAUACACUAAUAAUAUAUAAAACUAAGUUUUAAUAUUAAAAUUAUUGAAUUAACUAUUAAUUUUGAAAUUAAUAUUAAAACACUAAAUUCAAAUUUCUUUAGUUUUAUUAUUAAAAACUAUUUUUAACCUUUUAUAUUUAUUUUUUCUACUAUAAAAUCAAAUUAUAAUGUUAUUAAUUAAAAUUAAAUUCAAAUUGUAUUAAACAUAAUCAAAUCAAUAGAGUUGGCAAGGUACAUUGCACUUUUAAGAAAAGAAUGAGGUUUGAGCCUUAAAGAUACAUUGUUAGGAGAUAUAGUCACGAACCCCGAAUAUAGAUUAUAAAAUAGACAUGACAUGAAAAAUAAAAAUAAAAAUCAAAUUAAACUUUAUAAAUCUUAUUCAAAACUAACUUAUCUAAUUAGCAUAAGAUUAUCACAAUAUAUUUUUUAAUUUUUAUAAUAGUUUCAUUUCGUAAGUGAAACAACUAAUGAAAUUAUUAAAUUAUCAAAUAGUAUUACAAAAUAAAAAAUAAAAAAAAUUUGACUUCCUAAAAAAAAUAAAAUAAAAUCUAGUCUAAAAAUAAAUACUAAUAAUAGGUGGCAACUAUAAUGAGAAUUUUUAAAAUGAUAAUCAAAAUGAUCUUUGCCAUUGAAUCAAAAUAAAUAGUUUUAAGUCUUAUAUUUUGUAUUUACCUUACCUUACUAAAAUAAAACCAAGAACACCCAAUCUCUCUUCUUUUUUUCUUUCCAAUGUGUAAUUAUCAGGGUGAAAAAAAAAAGGGGAUAAUUUUUACUUUAGGAUUUAAUUUGUUUUUUCUUUUUGAGAAGAAAAUUAUAAUGGAAGUUAUUAAGAUUUUUUGAUUUCCCUUAAAAAAAUCAAUUUGUGUGACCAAAAUUUUCAUUCAAUAAAAACAAAUACAAAUACCUAAUAUCUAAAUUGAUUAAUCUUAGUAAUCCUAAUCUAUUGCUUUCCAUUCCAAUUUUUUCUCAAAAAAAAAAAAUUAAUAUGAAAGUAAAGAUUAUCCAAUUUUUUUUACACUAAGACUUCAAUUACACGGUUAAAAGAAAAAAUAAGGGAAAGAUUGAGUGUUGCUUAUUUUAUUUUCAUAAGAUAAAAUAAAUACAAAAUCUAAGAUUUAAAAUCAUUUAUUUUGAUCUAAUAGCUAAUAUCAUUUUAGUUUUCAUUACUCUCAUUUUAAAAGUCCUCGCUAUUACAAGUACUUUUUAAAUUUUUUAUUUUAAUCUUUUGCUUCAAUGUAUUAUUCUCGUCAUCAUCUUCUUUCUUAAUUUUCUUUUUCACUCUAUCAUAUUUGUCAUCAUCCUCGUCAUAAUCAUCAAUCAAUGUAAAUAAUUACUUUGAAGUUGUAAAUUAUCUAAACAAUUAUAAAAUUAUAAUAAUUUAUUGUUGUAAAUUGGAGGCUUUUAUGAAGUAACUUUAAAAUUAAUAACAACAUACAAUUAUAAAGUGAAACUUUCACAUUAGAUAAUAGAAUGAUACAGAAAACUAAAUUUAGUAUAAUAUGUAUAAAAACUAAAUUAUAAACGUGUGAUAAAAUAUAUCAUAAUUUUACCUAAAAAGAUCUUUCAAUUCUUUCAGGUUUGAAAUUUCUUCUUUGAAAAACUUAUUAAUACUAAUAAUCUUUAUUUUUUUUUUUGCAAUAUUAUUUAGAUGUUAUCUGUUUGAAAAUGUUUUAAGUGUCGAAUGUUAUUUAUAAUAGCAAAUCUUAAUUUUAAUUUUAUAUAAAUGUAACACUAAUUAAGUGAUAAUUAAUUUAAAAUAAUAUAUAUUAUUAAUAAUUAAUUAAUAUACUCAAUUGUAAAAAUUCAAUGCAAAAAAUAAAAAUUAUUAUUAAUAUGAUUUUAUAUAUGAUUAAUAAUUAAUUAAUAUAUUCGAUUCUAUAGUUAAAGUUUACAUUAAGGGCACGUUUGGUUCGCUGUAUUGAAUUAGAGGUGUAUUGGAUUAGAGGUGUAAUGGAAUAGAGGUGUAAUAGCAAAUCAACUGUUUGGUUGAAUGUAAUGGAAUAGAGGCGUAAUAGUAAUCCUGUGUUUGGUUGAAUGUAAUAGAGGUGUAAUAGCAUAAUGGAAAAAAUUAAAAUGACUAGAAUACCCUUAGCAGAAAUUUGUUUAGGUAAAUGAUUAUUGUUAUUGUUAUUAAAUUUUAAUAAGAUUAUUAAUAUCAAUAAUAAAUAAUUUAAUCAUAUUUUAACAUAAUUAUUAUUAAAUAUAUUUUAAUUAAAAUAUAUAAUUUAAUAAAAUUCUUAAUAAUUAGCAGAAAUUUGUUUUGGUAAAUUAUUUUAUUUAAAUUUUAAUAAGAUUAUUAAUAUCAAUAAUAAAUAAUUUAAUCAUAUUUAAACAUAAUUAUUAUUAAAUAUAUUAUAAUUAAAAUAUAUAAUUUAAUAAAAUUCUUAAUAAUUAAUAUUCUUAUAUGAAUUUACUCAAACCAUAAUAUAUGAUACUAUAAAAUAUAAAUUAACAUAAUUAUUAUUAAAUAUAUUAUAAUUAAAAUAUAUAAUUUAAUAAAAUUCUUAAUAAUUAAUAUUCUUAUAUGAAUUUACUCAAAUCAUAAUAUAUGAUACUAUAAAAUAAAAUUUGAAAUAAUUAAUAUUAAAUAUAUUUUAAUUAAAAUAUAUGAUUUAAUAAAAUUUAAAAUAAUUAUAACUAAUAAAUUAUAUUUUAUGAAUUUGUAUAAUUUAAAAUAAUUAUUAUUACAUUUAAUUUAAUAAUAAUAUAUAAUUUUAUAAAAUUCUUGAUAAUAAAUUUUCUUAUAUGAAUUUAUACAAUUUAAAAUAAUUAAUAUUAAAUAUAAUUUAAUAGUGAUAUUUAAUUUCAUAAAAUUCUUAAUAAUAAAAUGGUAUUAUAUGAAUUUACUAAAAUCAAUAUAUAACUUGAACAUAAUUAACUUGUAUUAAGAAAAGGUUAGAUGAAAAUGAAAUUGUACAUUAUAAUCCAUAUGUUAUAUAGUUUUAUAUCAUCAAAAAGUUUGAACAUUGAUAUUUAAUGGUAAGAAAGAAAUUUUCUAACUCAUUCCAAUCGGGCAACAGAAGGUAAACUAAAGAAAACGAUCAUUUGAGUUGGAUGAUCGGGAAUUUUACUCAAAGCAUCAUACUGCUGAUCGUCGGUUAAACCUUCAAUUGACCAUAAGGUUGAAUAUAAAUUUGAAGCUCUCUCUUCCAUAUUUUGAUGUUCUUCUGACUUCUGCUGAACUACCACUUCGGAGGCAAUACUCCUAUUGAUUUGCUCGCCAACGGCCUGGAUUUUGUCCCCCAACAAAGUGGCAGCCUUAUUAAAUGAAGAAAACACAUUAUCACGAGCAUCAGAUUUCUUCUUUCUCUUAUUUGAAGAUGAGGAACCCCUUUGGUCUCUAUCUCCUCGCGGAUCCGUACCAGAAACAUCCAUGUCGUCUAAAGAGACGUCAGCUUCGCAGUCAUAGAAUGUGUUUCUCUCUUCAUUCAUAUCUGUAGUACGUACAUCAUCAGCAUGUAUUUCUUCAAGAACAUCAGCAGCUGUUUGAGUAUCUUUCCCAGUUGCUCGAUCUCUUGCGUAUAUGGUAGUAAGCUGGUCAUAGUAAGGAAAAGUACGAAAUCUGAAUUGAGCGGCUUCUUUGUGACUCUAAAAAAAUGAGGAAAUCAUAUUAGUCAUAAGUUUGGUAAAAAUAAUAUAAUAAAAACUUGAAAUAAUCUUACCUUUAAAUAGGACUCCCAAACCGCAUCUUCAGCAACGAGCUGUCUAUGCUCGUCCCAACCAAAACCGCUAUUGUUUUGACCAUUAAGCAUGUCGUAGACGAUUGACCACUUCCUUUUAAGUAAUCUAAUCCUUGAUUCAAUAUUAGGUUUUGCCUUCAACAUUGCAUUUGGUAAAGCCGUUUGUAGCAUUCUUUCUAACUCGUUCAAAUAACCGGCUUUGAACCCGGUAUCAGCAUUAAAUGUUCCAACAUUGUGCAGGUCCACCAUGAAGGAAACUAAUGCUGCAUCUUCCUCGGGAACCCAUUUUCUUUUGGCUCCUCGAGAAGCUUGAGAAGAAGCAUUUGAUUCGGAACACCUAACAUAAUGAUCUUAAGAACAAAAAAAAAACAAAUUAUAUUAAUUACUAUUUUAAUAUCAUGAUUCAAAAGGUCAACACUUUAUAAAAUCUAAGGAAUUAAGUUGAAUAUCAUGAAUCAAAAGCUCCAUACCACAAAAAAUUUAAAAUUAUAACACAUGCUGAAUUAGAAGAAAUUAUAUUAUAAUUCAACAAGUUUAGUACAAUACAAAAAUCAAUACAAAAGUUUCACAAACUAAUUUCUAGAUGCUUGUCAUUCAUCGAACAUUUGGUUGGCUAGUUCCAUCCUCCAAGUAGCCCAAGCAUCUGAUGGAUGAAUAUUUGUGAUAUUCGGUUCAUUGUCAUCCACCACAUUAAUUGUAGGUAAUCCUUCUCCCACAUCCGCUUCAAUGGGAUCAAUACUCAUAUGGGUUCGAAUAAAAUUAUGGAGCAAACAACAUGCAAUAAUAAUUCUAUUGUGCACCCUUAUAGGAUAGAACGAUGGACUCCUAAGUAUUCUCCAUCUAAGUUUUAAUAAGCCAAAGCAUCUUUCAAUAACAUUACGUGCUGAGGCAUGUUUCAUAUUAAAAAACUCUUGCGGAGAACUUGGCUGAUAACCCUGACGCCACUCGUUUAAAUGAUAUCGCUGUCCUCUAAAUGGUGCAAGAAAUCCAUCACAAUUUGUGUAUCCAACAUCAACUAGAUAAUAACCUAUAAAAUAAAUUUUUUAACAAAAAUGAUUAAUUCAGCACACAAAGUUUGAUCUUAAUGUCACGAAUUCAAAGUCCUCUAACUAUACACUUUACCAUGAGGAACUUUUAAUCCAUGUCUUCUACUAAUGGCAUCUCGAAGAACCUGUCCAUCGGCAACUGAACCUUCCCAACCAGGAAGAACAUAAACAAAUUGCAUCUCAAGUACAAACACCUAGCAUAUUUGUUGCUAUGUAACCUUUUCGCGUUCGAUAUCUAGGUUUAUCAAUUGUUGGAACCCUAAUCUUGAUGUAGGUUUCAUCAAGAGCACCUAAGCAAUUCUAUAUCACAUGAUAUAAAACCUUGAGUUAGAAUAUUAAUUUAAAUCUAAAUCAAGUAAAUGUUGUUGAAGUUAUAUAUAAAAUUCAGUCCAAUACCUUAAACCAUUUUCACCUUGUGUCAGAAGAAUUGGCUGUAAUUGGCUCCGGCUUUUUAAAUAACACAUCUUGCAAGCGUAUGACAGCAUUUAAAACACUAUGAAAUGCUCUGCUAACAGUUUUCCCGGACCUUCUAAAGUGAUGCUUGAUAACCCGAUUUUUCAGGUGAUGGGAGAUGAUAUGUAAAAACAUUGCUACUUGCUCGUCAACAAGCAUGAAUCUUGUCGACUUCAAUCCCCCUAUCGAUUCUAAAGCAGCUCUAUUCAUCCUAACUUGUUCAAUACAGGUCUCAUCACUAGCAUAUACAAGCCUCUUCACAUAAUCCCGUUUUGCAUAAAAAUCUACGGUAUAGGACCUAAUCCUUGGUCUAUGUAAGCUAAGGAUGACACCCAUUCUAAAUAAGAACCAAAUCGCCAUUCUAUAGAUUUUCAACCAUAUUGUCACAGCAAUACUAAUUCUUUUACGCCUCACACUUUGUGCAAUUAAAGGCAGACGAGCCAUUACUGCAACAUUUUAAAUUUAGAACACACUAUCAAAGAAUUGAAGUUGCAAUUACACAUUAUCAAAUAAAAAUAAACAGCACAAAUUUAGAACACACGAAGCAAAA
Molecule: long non-coding RNA, 12330 nt
Filed under: Gossypium barbadense (sea-island cotton)
Lineage: Eukaryota; Viridiplantae; Streptophyta; Magnoliopsida; Malvales; Malvaceae
Description: long non-coding RNA (GBAR_LNC014301)
Source: RNAcentral